This 447-nucleotide ribosomal RNA is filed under the name uncultured bacterium. RNAcentral's name for it is "partial 16S ribosomal RNA". It matches the Rfam family "Bacterial small subunit ribosomal RNA", at positions 29 to 523 of the family's 1533-position model. The record is from RNAcentral.
AGCGAACGCUGGCGGCAGGCCUAACACAUGCAAGUCGAGCGCCCAGCAAUGGGAGCGGCAGACGGGUGAGUAACACGUGGGGAUCUACCCAAUGGUACGGAAUAACCCAGGGAAACUUGGAUUAAUACCGUAUGUGCCCUUCGGGGGAAAGAUUUAUCGCCAUUGGAUGAACCCGCGUCGGAUUAGCUAGUUGGUGAGGUAAAGGCUCACCAAGGCGACGAUCCGUAGCUGGUCUGAGAGGAUGAUCAGCCACACUGGGACUGAGACACGGCCCAGACUCCUACGGGAGGCAGCAGUGGGGAAUAUUGGACAAUGGGCGCAAGCCUGAUCCAGCCAUGCCGCGUGAGUGAUGAAGGCCUUAGGGUUGUAAAGCUCUUUCGCCGGUGAAGAUAAUGACGGUAACCGGAGAAGAAGCCCCGGCUAACUUCGUGCCAGCAGCCGCGGUAA